CCCUCGCCCAACAAAUCGCUAUCGAAGCUACAUACAGAGACAACGUAUUUUCCGUCGUCUCCAGAUCUUCUUGCUUUGGGAGAAAGUCCCCGGACACGCUUCGUUCCGAAGCAACACGCGGAAACGCGCCGCCAUAGAAGCACUGCGUUCCUCCCAGCCCGUCAUCUCCUUCCAUUCUGCCCCUCCAGUCGUUACAUCUCCAAGCCACCCACAGUUAUCCGCCCUGGCGCUGAAUCAGCAGACCCCACGGACGAAGAUAUGAGUCCGCGCUGCUUUUCCGGUUCUGGGAUCCGUGACGGUGUGGUGGCUCGUUGAUGGCUGUUGGCCGCGGAGUGCGGAUGGUGGCUUGGCUCUCUUUGAUGGGAAGGGCUGGGUUGGAGUUUCUUAGUCGAGAUGGAUAGUUAUGCGAUUACCUGACGCUGCUUUGGUGGCUCGGUUUACUCGAUGGGGCUUAUUCUUGGUGCGAGG
This 468-nucleotide RNase MRP RNA is filed under the name Pseudomassariella vexata. RNAcentral describes it as "RNase MRP". It matches the Rfam family "RNase MRP". Rfam says of the family: RNase MRP is an enzymatically active ribonucleoprotein with two distinct roles in eukaryotes. In mitochondria it plays a direct role in the initiation of mitochondrial DNA replication. In the nucleus it is involved in precursor rRNA processing, where it cleaves the internal transcribed spacer 1 between 18S and 5.8S rRNAs. The record is from Rfam by way of RNAcentral. Lineage: Eukaryota; Fungi; Ascomycota; Sordariomycetes; Amphisphaeriales; Pseudomassariaceae.